AAUUUUGGACAAUGGGGGAAACCCUGAUCCAGCCAUCCCGCGUGUGCGAUGAAGGCCUUCGGGUUGUAAAGCACUUUUGUCAGGGACGAAAAGGUUUUGGAUAAUACCCGGAACUGAUGACGGUACCGUAAGAAUAAGCAUCGGCUAACUACGGGCCAGCAGCCGCGGUAAUACGUAUGGUGCAAGGGUUAAUCGGAAUUACUGGGCGUAUAGCUUGCGCAGACGGUUCGGAAAGAAGGAUGUGAAAUCCCAGGGCUCAACCUUGGAACUGCAUUCUUAACUACCGAACUAGAGUAUGUCAGAGGGGGGUAGAAUUCCGCGUGUAGCAGUGAAAUGCGUAGAUAUACGGAGGAAUACCGAUGGCGAAGGCAGCCCCCUGGGAUAAUACUGACGCUCAUGCACGAAAGCGUGGGUAGCAAACAGG
This 424-nucleotide ribosomal RNA is filed under the name uncultured bacterium. RNAcentral's name for it is "partial 16S ribosomal RNA". It matches the Rfam family "Bacterial small subunit ribosomal RNA", at positions 360 to 776 of the family's 1533-position model. The record is from RNAcentral.